Molecule: long non-coding RNA, 2125 nt
Filed under: Erythranthe guttata (spotted monkey flower)
Lineage: Eukaryota; Viridiplantae; Streptophyta; Magnoliopsida; Lamiales; Phrymaceae
Description: long non-coding RNA (EGUT_LNC001355)
Source: RNAcentral
UUUAUUCAAACAAAAAAUUAUUCCCGUCUUUUCCUUUUUCACAUUUAUUCUCCUUUUUAUUCUUUAAAAUGUAUUUCUCAAAUUUUGCCCAAUUUGUCUCUCGCUCUCUACCUUCUUCUCUGCGUUCGUCCGUGCAUCUCUGUGAGAAUACGAGCAUCCACCACCAUUUGUUCUCCAAUUGAGGUAUUGUUAUUUUCUAUCACUUUAUAGAUCUAUAGAUUUCGUUCUCAAAUAAUCUCUUUGUGUCCUCUUCGAUCUCUUUCACAAUUAGCAUUAACAAAUUUCUAAUUUAGGGUUUUUUCCCUUCAAUUUUACUUAGAUAUGCUGAAGGACCAAUUUUAUUUGGACGAAUUUUAUUUGGACCAAAAUUUAUGACAACUCUUUCAUCCUUGUUGUGUGUUUGUUGAUUAUUUUAUGGUCUCUUAUUUUUUUUUAUCCGUUUGGAGAAUUCAGGGCGGAUUUUUUUCUUCGACAGUGCAAGAUGGAUUUUGUAUAUAAGGGUUUGGUCUUACUUUUCGAUUAAAAUUAUUAACUUUUUUUUUAUUUUUGUUUUUUACCGAAGACACAGAGUGCAUUGUUGAUUUUGUACUGUGUAAUAUAUUUUUUUUUCUUCUUAUUUUCAGGUUUUAAUGAAAGCUUUGGUUUGUGAGGUAUUGUUAAUUUUACAAUAAGAUUGGUAAAAUUUUCUUAGCAUUGUGUGCUUCUACAUUAUACGAAAGAUGUGUCUUCAUAUACUUGCAUAGUAUGUUAUAACGUUAAGUCAACUCACUUUAUUGCAGGGUGUGGUUAAUUGUGUUGCUGGAAAAGAGAAAACAAAGUUAAGUAAGUAUUUCGUGCUUGAAUACUACAUAUAUAUAUAUAUAUAUAUAUAUAUAUAUAUAUAUAUAUAAUGGCCUAUCACUAUCUCUAAGUAAAUAUUGACAUAGCUAGUUAAGAUGGUGUAUUAGCUUAAUUUUGAAUUGGACUUGAGUUCUAAAUGUUGGUAGUUUGUACUAAUAUUACACUUACAUAUUACAUUUUUUAUCUUGGCCGAAAAGGUCCACUUCUAGUAAUAACCUUCCUCUAUUUGCUAUUUAUUUGACUGGACUUAAGCAUUCUCUAAUGAACUGCACAUUACCAAUUUGCAGUUUUAAUCUAUUGGGAUUUGCGUUAAUGUAAUCUCUAUAUUGUUGUCUAUGACCUCAUUAUUAAUUGCUGAAAGAGUAUAUUAUACUUCUUGAACUCUAUUAAAACUUUUAAUUGCAUAGCUCCAUUUUCUUUGCAGUGUCAUUUGAUAAGUUGACUAUAAGUAUUUUCUUUUCUUUUUUAUGAUCACAGGAAAACAUCAGAGAAUAAGGUUGAACCACCUUUACCGAACAACAUAUCGCUAGAUUUUCUGCCAAACUUUGUGUAAGUGUUCGAGUUGCGCUCAUGUGUGUUUAAUGAGGAUUUUUAUGUCCAGAUUAUACACUGCAGUUAUUGGCAGCUAUCUAACAAAUUUUACUAACAGAUAAUUAGCUUAUUCAUUUUUUUCCAAAGCCAUCCUUCUUAAUCUAUUUUAGAAGUAUAUGUUUGAGAUUCUAAUAAUAUGUGUUUGAUUUGAUUCAUGACCAGGAGUCUCAAGCUGCAAACUACAAUUAUAUUUGCUCUGUAAGUGGAAAAUAAACUAAUUUAAUAGCUUUUAUAGCAAGCAUGCUUGUGUUGGUCCAUUGGUUUUUUUUCCUCCCAUUCUGGUAAUAUUUUUUUCACUUUCAUCUUUUUGAGUUAGUUUAUGCAUUAAUUUUAUUUAAUGUGCUCUUAAAGUGAAUGCAUUUUUGUUCUUAUAUAUUUUUUUCUCUCUAGUAAAACUGAAUUAAUUUGCAUAAGUUUGGGAGCACAAAUGAUAUUUAUUUUAGCUUUAGAAAUAAUAUACAUCUUUGCGAAGUUAUUCAUUUAUAAGAUAUGAAUUUUGUGUGAAUGUAUAUUUAUUACUUCAACUUUUAUUGUAUCAGGCAGUGUGGUCUGAGACAAAAGUUGAUGGAGAAGGAAAUGGAGAUGCACAAAUAGAAGACCGAGAUGAAGAGAAAGAUGAAGAUGGUAAUGGAUAUAGGUCUUUGCAGUUCUUAUAGGAAGAAUUGUAAAUUUAUGAUUUCGGUUUAUGCUAAAC